GAUGAACGCUGGCGGCGUGCCUAAUACAUGCAAGUCGAGCGAACAGACGAGGAGCUUGCUCCUUCGACGUUAGCGGCGGACGGGUGAGUAACACGUAGGUAACCUACCUAUAAGACUGGGAUAACUUCGGGAAACCGGAGCUAAUACCGGAUAAUAUUUCGAACCGCAUGGUUCGAUAGUGAAAGAUGGCUUUGCUAUCACUUAUAGAUGGACCUGCGCCGUAUUAGCUAGUUGGUAAGGUAACGGCUUACCAAGGCAACGAUACGUAGCCGACCUGAGAGGGUGAUCGGCAACACUGGAACUGAGACACGGUCCAGACUCCUACGGGAGGAAGCAGUAGGGAAUCUUCCGCAAUGGGCGAAAGCCUGACGGAGCAACGCCGCGUGAGUGAUGAAGGUCUUCGGAUCGUAAAACUCUGUUAUUAGGGAAGAACAAACGUGUAAGUAACUGUGCACGUCUUGACGGUACCUAAUCAGAAAGCCACGGCUAACUACGUG
RNAcentral lists this ribosomal RNA (497 nucleotides) under uncultured bacterium. RNAcentral describes it as "partial 16S ribosomal RNA". It matches the Rfam family "Bacterial small subunit ribosomal RNA", at positions 28 to 507 of the family's 1533-position model. The record is from RNAcentral.